RNAcentral lists this long non-coding RNA (233 nucleotides) under Vigna radiata. RNAcentral's name for it is "long non-coding RNA (VRAD_LNC007215)". The record is from RNAcentral. Lineage: Eukaryota; Viridiplantae; Streptophyta; Magnoliopsida; Fabales; Fabaceae.
CGGGUUGAUUCGAUUCUGCCGGCGUCGUUUCCGGUUCGGAGUGGUCUGUGACUGGUGUUGACGAGAAGGGCGCAGAUGAUGGAGGUUGGUCUGUGACUGGUGUUCGAAGUGGUCUGUGACUGGUGUUGGCGAUGGUGCCUUUGGUGUUGACGAGAAGGGCGCAGAUGAUGGAGGUUGGUUCGUAGAUGUAGCAACACAGAAACAGGGACUUUAACCAUUUGGUUUUAUUUUGC